Non-coding RNA from Cordylochernes scorpioides, 73 nucleotides. Lineage: Eukaryota; Metazoa; Arthropoda; Arachnida; Pseudoscorpiones; Chernetidae. The record is from the annotation of a GenBank genome assembly.
UCCAGGGUAGCCUAGUGGACAUGGCAUCUGCCCUGUAAGCGGAAGGUCGUGGGUUCGAUUCCCGCCCCUGGAC